Molecule: ribosomal RNA, 253 nt
Filed under: uncultured bacterium
Lineage: Bacteria
Description: partial 16S ribosomal RNA
Rfam family: Bacterial small subunit ribosomal RNA
Source: RNAcentral
UACGGAGGAUCCAAGCGUUAUCCGGAUUCAUUGGGUUUAAAGGGUGCGUAGGUGGAAUGAUAAGUCAGUGGUGAAAGCCUGCAGCUUAACUGCAGAACUGCCAUUGAUACUGUCAAUCUUGAGUACAUUUGAUGUGGGCGGAAUGUGUCAUGUAGCGGUGAAAUGCUUAGAUAUGACACAGAACACCGAUUGCGAAGGCAGCUCACAAAACUGUAACUGACGCUGAGGCACGAAAGCGUGGGUAUCAAACAGG